Setaria italica (foxtail millet) is the source of this 1752-nucleotide RNA transcript. It is a transcript of the gene named F-box/kelch-repeat protein At5g43190, with no coding region annotated. The record is from RefSeq and is a predicted model, not a curated record. Lineage: Eukaryota; Viridiplantae; Streptophyta; Magnoliopsida; Poales; Poaceae. The transcript has 3 exons.
CAAGGUGCGUCCGACCCAUUUGAGGCCCACAAGCCAGCGAGAUCCGGCUCCCCCGUUUUCUUCCUCGCCGUCCGCGGUGCGCCCCUCCCCAUUUCGCUCUCCACCGCUCUACCGCAGCCGCAAGCCCGCAAAGAAGGAACUGAAUCCGCGAUUCACCGAUCCCCAUUCGAUCCGUAGCCAUGGCCUCCUCCACCACCACCGCCGUCGACUGCCCGUGGGACGCCCUCCCGUCGCACCUCCAGGAGCGCAUCCUUUCCCUCAUCCCCGUCACCGAGCUGCUCCCCGUCGCCGCCGCCUCUCGCGCGCUCCGCCGCCUCCUCCGCUCCCCGGCCUUCCACGCCCUCCUCUCCCCGCACCGCCUCGACGCCUUCUUCCUCAUCACCCCACGGCUCGCCGUCCACCCGCUCUCCCGCCGCGUCCUCCGCACGCCCCAGCUCGCUGCGCUCUGCCCCCCUUCCUAUCCGCUCGUCUCCUCCGCGUCCCCCUCCCGCCUCAUCACCUACGCCACGCUCCACUCCCUCCCGCCGAUCCCCGACGGCUCCUACCUCCUCUCCGUCGUCGUCCAGCCGGCCCCCUCCUCCUCCUGCAUCCUCGUCGCCGUCACCACCGGCGCGGCCGUGCGCUCGUAUACCCUGGACGCCGAUGAUCCCUCCCGGCAGUGGGCGUCUAGAGGCGAUCUCCCGGUGUCUAUCUCGCUCCUGGGAAAUGCCGCAGUCGCUGGCGAUCGCAGUCAGCUCUUCGUCCUCGGCCGUGGCCCCGACGCUCUCUUGGUGUUCAAUCUCGCGACGGGGACGUGGGAGGUGCUGCUGGUUGUGAUGCCACAAGGUCUCACUACAGCGCACCUGUUUGUGUAUGAUGGGAGGCUGUUCAUGGUUGGUGGGGUGGAGAGGUUGGGGGAGGUGGAACGGGUGGUGGUGUGGCGGCUGGAGGACGGGAAGGAGGUGAUGUUAUGGAGGGAGGUGGGUGUGAUGCCAGUGGAGGUGUUCGAUGAGUUGGUGGCUGGUCGGCAUGGAAGUUUCUGGCAUUUUCAGGCCGCGGACAGAUUGGGGAUUGUUUGCUUGUACAAUGUUGUGGAUGGUAGGCUGGUCAUGUUUGAUGCGGCUGAUGGUUUGUGGACAGUGCUGCCACGAGUGUCCGGGAUGGAUGCAGAGGAGAGUGGCAGGUGGUUUGGACAUGUCCUGGAGCCGGGAGUUGAGCUCUUGCUGGGACAACACCACCGGUGAUGAUAAGGGUCGCCGGUGGUUGAUAUAGUUUGUACAGGCAGACACCUGCGGACCUGCCCACUGCUUUUCUUCAGAGUCAUCCUUUCUUUGUAUGCGGUGGCUCUAUUUUUGAAUAGACAUGGAAAUAUAAGUGCUGCAGAUUGCUCGAGUCGUGCGCACUCUAGGGGUGCAGUUGGUACUGUUGUUGGCAUAUUUAAGUUUUAAGUGCUGGCCCUGUAUGUUGUGGCACUUGCCGCAUGUGGCUCCAUUGUAAUAUACUCCCUUUGUCCUGAAAUACAAGGCAUCCUAGAGAUUUUUAGAACAUAUUAGCAGAAGUAGCAAAAGACGCAUGUACCCUGAAUUAAUGGCAUGGCAUGUACCCUGAAUUAAUGGCUUAGUAGGUUAAAUUUGACUAUGUAAGUGGUGGUGUUUGUGUUUUAUAUUAGGGCAGUAGUGUGGGUUGACAGUGUGCUGCCAUUGACAGUAGCGUUGAUGUUAUAAUUUGCUUUAAAUUGCUUUACAAUCGGCCAGUGUUGUUAUUUGCUUCAAA